GAGCUCGCUUUGGCAACACAUAUUCUAAAAUUGGAACGAUACAGAGGAAUAGCAUGACUCCUGCACCAGAAUGACACGCAAAUUCAUGAAGAGGGCACCUAUGAA
Choloepus hoffmanni (Hoffmann's two-fingered sloth) is the source of this 105-nucleotide small nuclear RNA. NCBI's taxonomy places the organism in Eukaryota, Metazoa, Chordata, Mammalia, Pilosa, Megalonychidae. The record is from Ensembl.